Molecule: long non-coding RNA, 5026 nt
Organism: Oncorhynchus nerka (sockeye salmon)
Lineage: Eukaryota; Metazoa; Chordata; Actinopteri; Salmoniformes; Salmonidae
Exons: 2
Source: RefSeq, a predicted model, not a curated record
UUUAAAAAAAUAAAAAUAAAAAUCCCCACCAAGGCAGGGAAACUCCCUAGCCUAAAGCACCAACGGUUAGUCCCAGUUCCCCCUAUCGCCCCCUAACUCAUGGCCUCUUGACACAUAUCUUGACACACACAUUGACACGCACGUACAGUAUAGCGCACGAACACACACACCCCACACUCAUUUCAACUGACAUCCCUGGACACACAAACCCCUUCUUUGACCACAGUCAGUUCCAGUUCCCCUUUUCUCAACCCCUUGACACACACAGACACACAGACAUCUCAAUGCACACACACCCCACACUCAAGUCAACUGAGCAGGGGCCAGGAUCAGACAACUUCAAGAAGCACCAAUGGGGCACCGGCAAAGGGUCGGACAGGACCUGCCUCCAACCUUCACCAACCAGUCAGAAGACAGAACUACAAGAAUCAACCUACGCCAUUCUAUGUUUAAAUACCUUUGCACACUGUGUUUAGGUAUCCUUUUUCAGCUGACUCCUUCUGAGCCAAAUGAGAGGAUCCGUGCACGCUUUGUAUCAGAUAUCUUUACCUUUAAUAAACCUGCCUUGAAUCAUACCAUAUCCACCUGGUCCAGCGUCUCAACUUGGUCUCUCUCCUCUAGUAACAGUACAUCAAUCAAACAUGGUAGCAGAGGAUGGUUGAUAUAAACACCUAAAUUCGGUCCAAAAGAGGUUGAUGAGAGGAGAGGCGAGUUGGAGGCACAAUCCAGAGGGACGGGUGACCUGCAAAGGAGCCGCCGGGGAUUCAUCUCACCUCAGGAACCUGAUCUAAAAAAGUCGACUAAACAAAGGAUUUUAUGCAUUACAGGUGAACUACAGGUGAAGUCACUCAAUCCAGUCCCAGAGGCUUGGGGACCAUAGAAGACCCCUGGUGACAGCUAGCUGAAAGAGCUACCCAGAUUCAUAUCGCACGGCGGGUGGGUAAGACACUUUUUCACUGUCGGACAAUAAACAGAGUUCGGGAGAAGAACUGGAAUUAACAGAAUUCCGGGGGCCAACUCUCGAAUGAAGUAACCCUACCUGUCCUAUCACCCCUGUUUUUGUUCAUAGAAGUGAGGAUGUGUCUGGCUCUGGCUAUGUGAUGUGUAUUUUGUUCCAAAAUAAGCAUAAGAGAUCCCUAGAUCUGGGUAGACAGGAAGUUAGAGUAGAGAUUACAUGAUAACCGACUUCGGACAGUUCUAGGAUUAGAGAAGAGGGUAUCCUUAUAGCAUAGGGGAUCCCACAAAGGUGGAUAGGUUUUCCAUGAUAUGGGGAAACCUGGGAGCAAUGUUGAACUUUGUAAAGGUGAUGAAAUCCUACUAACCAUAAAAAAUAUUAAGCUCUCUGAUGCAGGCACUCACACCCUCGGACUACAAAGGACGAGGACAGACAUGAUGGGUGUGUUUUCUAUUAAGGUACUGCCAAUACCAGAGGUAACCGGACACACUCCUCUACCACCACUGUGUUAAAAAAUACCAUUCAGGUAAUUAAUGUUAGAGACUAUUCGGCUAUUGAUCAAUUAGGAACUGAGACUGGUUUUGAUAGUAGGGACAAUUUGUGGCUGUCUUAUAUGAGGUACACAGCUAAAACCCUGAGAAGAAAGGACUGUAUUAUUUGUAGUCAUGCUAGACCUGUUCUGGCUACACACCCAUUUGCUGUAGGAGAAGGAGAGGGGUGGUUGUGUAUUCUGAGAAGUUUUUACCAGGUUAAGCCCAAUUCAACCCUCUGUUCCUCUUUGAGCCUUGUGUUUCCUGCAGUACCUCCUCAUCGGGCCUCUUGGGGUGUUGGGGCAUAUGGGGGCAAUUACGAGUGCAUCACGGGUACAGGUAAUGGCAUUGAUUAUGGGAGAUUGCCUGAAGCUGAUUGCAGUAGUAACAUAACCAUUAAUUCCACUUGGCCAGUUACAGGCCUAAACCAAACUAGUGGUCUGGCUGAUGUGUGGAGCCAAAAGAGUGCUGAGACCCAUUCUUAGAGGAGAAUGGCAAGGUACGUGUGGUCUGACCAGUUUGAUAAUUCCACUGACCAUUGUUGAUGUUGCUGCUGAACAGCUGCUGAGUUCUGUAUCCAGGGGACCUGAAAACAUUCCAUCCCAUGGGAGACAUAGAUGUAAUGUUCCAUGGACAGAGGAUGUAGUUGACAUACACACUAACCUGUUGGGAGUGCCAGUGGGGAUUCCUCAUGAGUUUCAGGCCUUUGGUAGGAAUGAUGGACUCUGGCACUUACUACCUACUAUGGGUCUAGCCAUAGUGGAUGCUAGACAGACUGCAUGGAUUAAUUAUAUCUACUAUAAUCAACAGCGUUUUGUGAAUUACUCCCGUGAUGCACUCACUGGUAUGUCUGAACAGCUUGAGGCCACAUUUGGAGUUUCCAGACAGAAUAGACUUGCCUGGGAUAUGCUUCUUGCCAGUCGGGGGACGUCUGCAAGAUGUUCGGUGAACAAUGUUGCACGUAUAUUCCUAAUAAUACCAGUCCAGAUGGUAGUAUAUCUAAGGCGGGCUUGAUGCACUAUCUGCUAAGAUGAGGUCCACGGGGGGGGGAGGAGUCUGUUCUCUUGGCCUGGUUUGGUAAGUACACUGGUAUGAUGGUUACUGGAUUUCUGACCCUAAUUCUUGUAUUAUUUGUUAUUGAUGUGAUGUGCUGCUUGCAUCAUACCGCGUUUUAAGAAGUCUGUUACAGAUGUGGUGAAGGCUUCAGGCAUAUGCCUUUGCUUGAUGCUCCAGUUGGCGAUGCCGAUACUGAAGCAUGCUUUCAGGGGAGGAUGGGACUGACUGAGGAUGACACAUGGUUUGGAGUCCCUGGGUGGCAAGGAGCCCACCUGGUACAGGAUAGGAGUAGCUGAGAGGACCAGAUGGGUUCUAAUAAUUCUUUACUCUGUUUUCCAUGACCAAAGUUAUAUCCUACAUCUUACAUGUCAAUAACAAUACAGUUUUAUCCUGUUUUUGAUAAGUGACACCCUUGUGGGUGACAAAAGGGGGAAACAAAAGCAUACAACAAAGGCAUAUAUCACUUGUUAUUAAUAAUAAACUUUUUAUUAUUUUCAUGAAAUGCUAUGACUGCUGAAAUAAAGGAUAAUGAGUGACACCCUAGCGGGUGUCAAAAGGGGGACCUAAAUUUCACACUAUUUUCUUUUGUUCUGUUUUUGAAUGAGCUGUUCUCUUUUGACAUGAAGGUCGUUUAAACUUUGUAACUGUUAUAUGAUUCAUUGCUGAAUUUUUGUUCACACCCUUGGGGUUAUUUUACAUUAUAGCCAUUACCAUAUAUAUGAUUGAAUAUUAUCUGCUGUUGUCUUGUGUGGAUGUAUGUAUGUGUUAUGCUACCUAGCUGAUUUGAAACAUUGUUAAAAGUAUCAGGGCCAUGGAACCCUCUCAUGCUGGAAAAAUACAGAAGGGAGGGCACAUUCAGAGCGUGGGCUUGCGAGAACAAACGGUCUUUUCUUAGAUAACAGGAGCCAGGUGCGAGAUAACGGUAUGGAGCAUGAGACCCAUCUUUCAGUUUUUGCAGCCAUUUUAAGAGGGGGAUCCAGUUGCUUUUAGUGAUUAAGCUUCUCCAUUGUAUGUCGUGUCCCAUCUGGGAUGGGAAGAGGGGGAAAUUAUUUUUCUUUGUGGGCCAUUUCCGUAUAGACUUACCUAGUUUAGGCUAUUUUUCCUUUUUGGAUUAUGUUUUCGUUUUUGCUGGGAGUAAUGUAUCUGGACUAUAUCACAUCUCUUAGAAGAUGUGAAGAGAGGGAAUCACAACUUUUUCCUGCGGGAAAAAGUUGGCUUAUGUGGACAAGCAUUUUACUUUUAUUUUGAGCUGUUGUUCUCCGCUCUGUUAAAUGAGGGUUGUAAGUUCCUAGGUGGCUGGUAGCCAACUUAGUACAUAAGUGGGAUUGAAUGGAGAACAUGAUGGUAAUACAUAUAUAUCUAUGUGGGACUCAUGGAUGGAUGCGUUUGGCAAGUAUAAGACCCUGGUCUCAUCCGUCCUCGUUUCCAUUUCGGUUUUUGCUGCAAUCAUAGUCCUUUGUGGGUGCUGUUGCAUUCCAUGUGCCCGUACAUUGACUAAUAGGGUUAUCACAUCGGCUAUUGAUCCCAAUCAGGCUAGCCAGAUGUAUCCCUUGUUUGCAUUGGAGGAACCUGAGAGUCUGUAUGAUGAAGGCCUCUAUUAGCCUUUGUGCCACGUCUCUUGUUUGACGUGAAGAGGGGGAAUUGGAAAAUUACAAACUUCCCUUGCUUAACUUCCUAUUUGUCACGUCUCUUGUGAGACGUGAAGAGGGGGAAUCACAAAAUUUGUCCGCUGACAAAUUUUUAGCUUAUGCUCUUAUAUGUUCACAUUUCGCCCUGGAUUAUGUUCACGUCUAGUAGAUGUGAAGAGGGGGAUUUGUAGUAUAUCAUAACAUAUAUUAUUUACUCAUAGCCUAGCAGAGUGGCCUGGAACCAUAUAACUAAAACACAUCCCAUGACUGAGACUUAGGGGGCUAUUACUCAAACAUACUUCUGCAUUAACCCAGACACAUUCUGUCCAGGUCAAAAGCACAUUCUAACCACAAACCAACUGUAAAGCUCCAAACUCAACGGUCGGACUGAAGUUAUCACAUAAAUCCCCACCAAGGCAGGGAAACUCCCUAGCCUAAAGCACCAACGGUUAGUCCCAGUUCCCCCUAUCGCCCCCUAACUCAUGGCCUCUUGACACAUAUCUUGACACACACAUUGACACGCACGUACAGUAUAGCGCACGAACACACACACCCCACACUCAUUUCAACUGACAUCCCUGGACACACAAACCCCUUCUUUGACCACAGUCAGUUCCAGUUCCCCUUUUCUCAACCCCUUGACACACACAGACACACAGACAUCUCAAUGCACACACACCCCACACUCAAGUCAACUGAGCAGGGGCCAGGAUCAGACAACUUCAAGAAGCACCAAUGGGGCACCGGCAAAGGGUCGGACAGGACCUGCCUCCAACCUUCACCAACCAGUCAGAAGACAGAACUACAAGAAUCAACCUAUCUUUACCUUUAAUAAACCUGCCUUGAAUCAUACCAUA